AACGAACGUUGGCGGCGUGGAUUAGGCAUGCAAGUCGAGCGGGAUUCUAUUUUUUCAAUUCUUCGGAAGAGAAGUUUUAGAUGAGAGCGGCGCACGGGUGAGUAAUAUAUGGGCAAUUUGCCCCUUUGUUCGGAAUAGCCAUCGGAAACGGUGAGUAAUGCCGGAUGUGAUCGUCUACCGCAUGGUAGAUUGUUUAAAGGCGGGGAAUCUUCGGAUCCUGUCGCAAAGGGAUAAGCCCAUAGCCUAUCAGCUAGUUGGUGAGGUAAUGGCUCACCAAGGCUUACGGGUAGCCGGCCUGAGAGGGUGAUCGGCCACACUGGGACUGAGACACUGCCCAGACUCCUACGGGAGGCUGCAGUCGAGAAUCAUUGACAAUGCACGGAAGUGUGAUCAUGCGACGCCGCGUGGAGGAAGACGGCCUUUGGGUUGUAAACUCCUGUCAGCAGGGAAGAAGGGUAGCAUUACUAAUAUUAAUGUUAUUUGACGGUACCUGCAGAGGAAGUCACGGCUAACUCUGUGCCAGCAGCCGCGGUAAUACAGAGGUGGCGAACGUUGUUCGGAUUUACUGGGCGUAAAGGGUCCGCAGGCGGAUCAGUGUGUCAGAUGUGAAAGCCCACGGCUUAACCGUGGAAUUGCAUUUGAAACUGCUGGUCUAGAGUACUGGAGGGGAGAAGGGAACACUUGGUGUAGCGGUGAAAUGCGUAGAUAUCAAGUGGAACACCGGAGGCGAAGGCGCUUCUCUGGACAGAUACUGACGCUCAUGGACGAAAGCUAGGGUAGCGAAAGGGAUUAGAUACCCCUGUAGUCCUAGCCGUAAACGGUGUGCACUAGACGUGGGUGGAUUUACCCCCAUCCGUGUCUGAGCUAACGCAUUAAGUGCACCGCCUGGGGAGUACGGUCGCAAGAUUGAAACUCAAAGGAAUUGACGGGGACCCGCACAAGCGGUGGAGCAUGUGGCUUAAUUCGAUGCAACGCGAAGAACCUUACCUGGACUUGACAUAUAGCUGCAUAUGACUCGAAAGAGACAUAGCCUUCGAGGGUGCUAUACAGGUGCUGCAUGGCUGUCGUCAGCUCGUGCCGUGAGGUGUUGGGUUAAGUCCCGCAACGAGCGCAACCCCCAUUCUCUGUUGCCCCGGGUAACCGGGGCUCUCUGAGAAAACUGCCGGCGAAGAGCUGGAGGAAGGUGGGGAUGACGUCAAGUCCUCAUGGCCCUUAUGCCCAGGGCUACACACGUGCUACAAUGGUGGAUACAAAAGGAAGCCAACCCGCGAGGGGGAGCCAAUCCUCCAAAAUCCAUCCAAGUUGGGAUCGGAGUCUGCAACUCGACUCCGUGAACCUGGAAUCGCUAGUAAUUGUGGAUCAGCACGCCACGGUGAAUACGUUCCCGGGCCUUGUACACACCGCCCGUCACACCACGAAAGUCUGUUGUACCCGAAGUGGGUGAGCUAACUCGCAAGAGAGGCAGCCUCCGAAGGUAUGGCCGGUAAUUGGGGUG
Molecule: ribosomal RNA, 1495 nt
Filed under: uncultured bacterium
Lineage: Bacteria
Description: bacterial SSU rRNA
Rfam family: Bacterial small subunit ribosomal RNA
Source: RNAcentral